This 253-nucleotide ribosomal RNA is filed under the name uncultured bacterium. RNAcentral describes it as "partial 16S ribosomal RNA". It matches the Rfam family "Bacterial small subunit ribosomal RNA", at positions 524 to 776 of the family's 1533-position model. The record is from RNAcentral.
GACGAACCGUGCUAACGUUGUUCGGAUUCACUGGGCUUAAAGGGCGCGUAGGCGGAUGACCAAGUCAGGGGUGAAAUCCUUCGGCUUAACCGGAGAACAGCCUUUGAUACUGGUCGUCUGGAGUGAGGUAGGGGCAUGCGGAACUUCCGGUGGAGCGGUGAAAUGCGUAGAUAUCGGAAGGAACACCGGUGGCGAAGGCGGCGUGCUGGACCUCAACUGACGCUGAGGCGCGAAAGCCAGGGGAGCAAACGGG